This 197-nucleotide ribosomal RNA is filed under the name uncultured bacterium. RNAcentral's name for it is "partial 16S ribosomal RNA". It matches the Rfam family "Bacterial small subunit ribosomal RNA", at positions 328 to 539 of the family's 1533-position model. The record is from RNAcentral.
ACGCUCGACACCUACGGGAGCAGCAGUGGGGAAUAUUGCACAAUGGGGGAAACCCUGAUGCAGCAACGCCGCGUGAAGGAAGACGGUUUUCGGAUUGUAAACUUCUGUUCUUAGUGAAGAUAGUGACGGUAGCUAAGGAGCAAGCCACGGCUAACUACGUGCCAACAGCCGCGGUAAUCUGAGCGGGCUGGCAAGGC